UAAUAAAAUAGGAAGAAGAAGAAAGUGAAUUAAUUCCACGUCUUUUACCUUCUUUUCAUAUCUUUUCCCUUGGCUUUUUACAUCUGGAUUUUUCCUUCAUUUCUAUUCAAUUUCCGUUCUUCUUUCUUCUUUUAUUUUGAAUAGAAAUGAGGAAAAGAUGAAAGAGGAGAAAAGAAUAGACAAUUUGGUUCUUUUGUGUCCUUUUCAUACAAUUCCAUUCGCUUCGGUUGUAAAUAAAGCACAGGAACAUGCCAUUGU
This 258-nucleotide non-coding RNA is filed under the name Symbiodinium sp. CCMP2430. Lineage: Eukaryota; Dinophyceae; Suessiales; Symbiodiniaceae. The record is from RNAcentral.